AAACUAUUUUGGUAUUUCCAGUGCCUUAGAUCCUUGCCUUGGAUUGUGGAGGAAGCAAAGGAAAAGGACAUAAAAUGCAUCACAAGAGGCAGAGGGAAGGAAUAGGAGAUAAAUUUACCCUGUCUUUUCCCUUUUCUGCAGCCUCCCUUCAAAGCCUAGUCUUUCUCAACUGUGCAUCUGCACCACUCUGGUAUUUUCAUGUGUCUCUGAUUCCAGAAAGACUUCUUUCACUGGUCUCCAGGAGAAUGGCUUCCUAGUGAUCUGAGAAGAAAUGGAAUCUGCUGUCUAGAGUAGAAGAGGCUACCAGUGAGCCAGUUUGCUGAAGCAAGUUACGGCUGCAACAAUGAGUCCCCAGGCAUACCCAUCCCCAAGUGAGGACUCCACAGAGGGACAGAAGUCAGCCCUUCCCAGCAAUGGCUCUGACUCUGAAACUUCCCGCCAACACUUCAGGCACUAAUGCUCCCAGGCGGUAGCUGGCCCCCAUGAAGGAUUUAGCAAGCUCUAGGAACUCUGCUGUCAGUGGCUAAGGCCUAAGACACACUCAAAAGAGCAAAUACUGGAGCUGCUGGUUUUGGAGCAGUUUCUCACCAUCUUGCCCCUGGAGAUCCAGACCUGGGUGAGGGAGCAACAUCCAGAAAAUAGUGAGGAAGCUGUGGCUGUAGUUGAGGAUGUACAGAGUAGGUCUGGGCAACAGGUGAGAACAGGCAACUCAGAACCUGGUGAGUUUAGUUACGAAGUGGGGUGAGGAGCACAGCAAUCCCGUUGCCGGAGACGUGUUGAGAAAUGCACACUAGCCCCCGCCACCCACCGCAAACUCUUAGCUAUCUUGGGUUGGUCCCAUGCCCUUCGUCUAUGGAGAGGAUUUCUCAUUUGCUGAAAUAGUGUACACACUGAUACAGUCAGUGGAUGUUUAGGGUCCCUAAUACAAAAGUUAAAGCUCACAACAGUUCUCCAAAAGGCCAGGGAAAGGACACUGUCCCUCACUCAGGAGAUCAGGAAAAUUAGAGUUGGUGAAUUAACAUCCAGUCUCUCUUGCCGAAAGGUUCCUUGAGUGCAGAUGCUAUGGUUAUGCAGUAAACAAAGUUGUAUCAGAGCUGCUGCUGCUGGGAUUAAGGGGUCAGUGUGGGAUAGCGAUGAGUUUCACACAGUGUGCGCUUGUCCAGGUAGGACUAGGUGUGAGAUCUGGUCAGUGUCACGAUCUUGUACAUUUUGGGAGAAGGGAGCCGUGAAAGGCACAGCACAACAGGAACGUGGCUUUAGUUGUGGGAGACUUGUGGGAAGAAGGCAACUGAGAUCACAACCAGAGGUCCAGGAGAGGGACAGACUGAAGGAGGCGUGUGGGUCAGAGGAAGGCCGUAGCCUGAGCACCUCUGUGCUCAACAGGAAGCAGCUGGCUGGGUGCGGAGACGGCAUGGCUGGAACUGGAGGUACCGGUGUCCCCGGUGUGGAGGCAGACGUGUCCUUGGGCUGUGGGAGUGGGAUCGGCGAGGGGCGUAGCAUUUCACAGGACCGAGGAUUGAGUGGUGUUGACAUAAUGUGCAGAGGGCAGAGAGCUUGGUGGAGAUGCAUCAGGGACGAAGCUGAGGAAGUUCACGAAGGAUCCAUGGCGUCGGGACAGUAACACCUGGGAUGGCACGGAGAAGGGUGAGCAGUAGCACGUGUGUGGAGGCAGAGCUGGGACAGGUGAAUGGCAGGAACCCCUACAGGUGAGAAGUCAUCCUGCUCCAGUUCCCCUUGCCCUCUCCCUGUGGGGACAGUCUCUGUCUCUUGCGGCCCCUGGUGUUUCAGAGCCAAGCUCUUCACGGGAAUGCAGACGGGACAGGAACGUGAGGGAUAACGCAGCCAUGUGAAGCCUGUCUGGGGUGCGAAGGGCACCGCGAGCAGAGGGGAGGGAGAGCGGAAGCUGACGGCACUUGCCAGGACGCAGAGGCCUCUCCACGCCACACUCCUCACUCACUCGACGGACAGGACACAUCAUACACGGAGGACUUAAUCGAUGAAGGUGGCUCUGAAAGACACAAGUGGCUUUGAGGUGCCUGCCAGACGGCAGACACUGGGAUUGUGCAGUGAACGGGACAGGCGCGGUCCGUGGCCUGCUGCAGGCUACGCUCCAGGAGGGACACAGACCACAAGCAAAGGAAGAGCGAGCCAGGAACGAGCCGGCUGAUGUGAUGGAGAAUGACUGUGGGGCAGACGGAGAGUGGGCACCGCCUCUCCGGGCCGUGAC
Molecule: long non-coding RNA, 2227 nt
Filed under: Lynx pardinus (Iberian lynx)
Lineage: Eukaryota; Metazoa; Chordata; Mammalia; Carnivora; Felidae
Source: RNAcentral